Molecule: long non-coding RNA, 441 nt
Filed under: Sus scrofa (pig)
Lineage: Eukaryota; Metazoa; Chordata; Mammalia; Artiodactyla; Suidae
Description: lncRNA (ENSSSCG00030056554.1)
Source: RNAcentral
GGGAGGUUGGAACCAAAAAAACAAGAAAGCCAGCCAAGUGGAGAGAAGUACAUUUUCUACAGAUUGGAAGAAAAAGUUGGCACCAAUUCUUGUGUCCAUGGCCUUUUACUUCUGGCCUAGAGCUGGCAUUUAAUUUGAAUUUUACUAGCACACAAAAUCAAAUGCAGCAACCUGAUUUUCCCAAUUCAGGGUAUUUAAUUUAAAAAAGCUUACAAGUUGAAUAAGUGGCUUUUCAAAAUAUGGCAGAGCUUCUUCUCAUCAAGAUUAGUGAGAGACUGAGCCAAUCUACUAUCCCCACAGAAGAUUUUUGCUGCCAUGGCCACCGGAACCAUAGCAAUGUACAGAAAUGUCCAAUUAUUUGGGCAGAGGGCAGUCAAGCCUAUGCUGAAUUGUAGACACUGCUGUGUUCCUGCACCUGUUUCAGUUAUCAGAGUCUCCUAA